AUUGAACGCUGGCGGCAGGCCUAACACAUGCAAGUCGAGCGGAUGAGUGGAGCUUGCUCCAUGAUUCAGCGGCGGACGGGUGAGUAAUGCCUAGGAAUCUGCCUGGCAGUGGGGGACAACGUUUCGAAAGGAACGCUAAUACCGCAUACGUCCUACGGGAGAAAGUGGGGGAUCUUCGGACCUUACGCUAUCAGAUGAGCCUAGGUCGGAUUAGCUAGUUGGUGAGGUAAAGGCUCACCAAGGCGACGAUCCGUAACUGGUCUGAGAGGAUGAUCAGUCACACUGGAACUGAGACACGGUCCAGACUCCUACGGGAGGCAGCAGUGGGGAAUAUUGGACAAUGGGCGAAAGCCUGAUCCAGCCAUGCCGCGUGUGUGAAGAAGGUCUUCGGAUUGUAAAGCACUUUAAGUUGGGAAGAAGAGCAGUAAGUUAAUACCUUGCUGUUUUGACGGUACCAACAGAAUAAGCACCGGCUAACUUCGUG
This 484-nucleotide ribosomal RNA is filed under the name uncultured bacterium. Its description in RNAcentral is "partial 16S ribosomal RNA". It matches the Rfam family "Bacterial small subunit ribosomal RNA", at positions 30 to 507 of the family's 1533-position model. The record is from RNAcentral.